This is a long non-coding RNA of Pipistrellus kuhlii (Kuhl's pipistrelle), 942 nucleotides long. RefSeq lists it as uncharacterized. The record is from RefSeq and is a predicted model, not a curated record. Lineage: Eukaryota; Metazoa; Chordata; Mammalia; Chiroptera; Vespertilionidae. The transcript has 5 exons.
CCACCGGCUGGGAGGACACAGAGGUGCUGCGGCUGGUGCGGCCACCCAGCGAGACAGCACCCAGGGCCUCAUUGAAGGUCAGCUCAUCUGUGAACUCGUGGCACUGCGGGAAGAAGGGAGGCACGGUCACAAAGAGCCACGCCUCACCGUUGUCUUCUCCAGACAGUGCAGCAAGUGGUGGUGUUGUUUCUCAAAAGCAGACCGGUUCCUGACACACAGGGCCUGGUCCUCCCCACUGCCGCUGUCCUGGAGCAGAUGGAGCAGACACGUGAGGAAGGCGUUGGUGGUCCCACUCUUUGCCAACCGGAUCCUUGCUAAGCGCACCUUCUACAGAGAGGAGAGAAAGAGUCAGAUGCGGCUGAAGUUAGAAACAAUGACUGGCACAGGCAGAGCGAUGACCAGGACACCACUGAGUGAGCAGAUGGAUCCGAAAAUCUUGCCAGCAAUGGUGCUGGGCACCAUGUCUCCGUAUCUGGGGCCAGAGGAGAUAAGAACACUGAGGCACAGAUGUUAAAUGACUUUCAAAUGCACACAUCUGUUAAGUGGCAGCCACAGAAGGUUGAGAAUACUGAGAACAAUAUUCUGCUUGUCCACUCCAACCUCACAGUCGUCAUCCAAGACCUCAGGCUCCUCUGGAAGUUGCUGGUCCAAGAUGUCUGCAUCACGGAGAGCCCCACCGCCAUCCCUCUUCUGUGGAAGGGUCUGUGUCUGGGAGCCUAGGCACCACAGACAGCUUUUAGGGCAUUUCCGGGGCCAGCACUGCCCAUAGCCCCAUAUCACCAGCCCUUGGCCUUGGAGAGGUGUGCAAUGCAAAUAAAACUAAGCCCGCCCCUUAACUCCUGACUAACAUUUCUCACAGCUGAUCUGACAAGAUCCUUUGUCCCAUUUUCAGAUGAGAAUACUGAGACCCACAGAGAAUUUUUAUUUCAUUGCCUGGGAUAC